Molecule: ribosomal RNA, 137 nt
Filed under: bacterium
Lineage: Bacteria
Description: partial 16S ribosomal RNA
Rfam family: Bacterial small subunit ribosomal RNA
Source: RNAcentral
CCUACGGGAGGCAGCAGUGGGGAAUUUUCCGCAAUGGGCGAAAGCCUGACGGAGCAAUGCCGCGUGAAGGCAGAAGGCCCACGGGUCAUGAACUUCGUCUCUCGGAGAAGAAAAAAUGCCGGUAUCCNGAGAGAANG